This 461-nucleotide ribosomal RNA is filed under the name uncultured bacterium. RNAcentral describes it as "bacterial SSU rRNA". It matches the Rfam family "Bacterial small subunit ribosomal RNA", at positions 339 to 797 of the family's 1533-position model. The record is from RNAcentral.
UUACGGGAGGCAGCAGUAAGGAAUAUUGGGCAAUGGAGGCAACUCUGACCCAGCCAUCCCGCGUGAAGGAUUAAGGCCCUAUGGGUUGUAAACUUCUUUUGUUUGGGAAGAAAUCAGGACAUUUAUGUGCUGUUGACGGUACCUUACGAAUAAGCACCGGCUAACUCCGUGCCAGCAGCCGCGGUAAUACGGAGGGUGCAAGCGUUAUCCGGAAUCACUGGGUUUAAAGGGUGCGUAGGCGGUUUGAUAAGUCAGAGGUGAAAGCUAGCAGCUUAACUGUUAAAUUGCCUUUGAUACUGUCAGACUUGAAUCAAGUUGAGGUAGGCGGAAUGUGACAUGUAGCGGUGAAAUGCAUAGAUAUGUCAUAGAACACCAAUUGCGUAGGCAGCUUGCUGGGCUUGAAUUGACGCUGAGGCACGAAAGCGUGGGGAUCAAACAGGAUUAGAUACCCCGGUAGUCCU